RNAcentral lists this transfer RNA (72 nucleotides) under bacterium. RNAcentral describes it as "tRNA-Arg". It matches the Rfam family "tRNA". From Rfam's summary of the family: Transfer RNA (tRNA) molecules are approximately 80 nucleotides in length. Their secondary structure includes four short double-helical elements and three loops (D, anti-codon, and T loops). The record is from RNAcentral.
GGUCCCGUAGUUCAACGGAUAGAAUAGUAGUUUCCUAAACUAUAGAUAUGGGUUCGAUUCCCGUCGGGACUA